RNAcentral lists this ribosomal RNA (301 nucleotides) under uncultured bacterium. RNAcentral describes it as "partial 16S ribosomal RNA". It matches the Rfam family "Bacterial small subunit ribosomal RNA", at positions 509 to 807 of the family's 1533-position model. The record is from RNAcentral.
CAGCCGCCGCGGUAAUACGUAGGUGGCAAGCGUUGUCCGGAAUUAUUGGGCGUAAAGGGCUCGCAGGCGGUUUCUUAAGUCUGAUGUGAAAGCCCCCGGCUCAACCGGGGAGGGUCAUUGGAAACUGGGAAACUUGAGUGCAGAAGAGGAGAGUGGAAUUCCACGUGUAGCGGUGAAAUGCGUAGAGAUGUGGAGGAACACCAGUGGCGAAGGCGACUCUCUGGUCUGUAACUGACGCUGAGGAGCGAGAGCGUGGGGAGCGAACAGGAUUAGAUACCCCUGUAGUCCCUGUCUCUUAUAC